GUUUGCUUAAAUGUAAGUAUCGAAUUCUAUAUAUGAUUUUUGAUUGUAGAUAUUAACAUUGGAAUUGGAAAUCAUGUGUGAUGUUAACAAACAACAACUUUCUUACGUACGCCAAAGAUUCUCUACUACGCCUGCAUUAUUCCGGAAUAUCAAACAUAAGAUGCAUCCGAUGAUCAGGAUCAUCACGAUCAGAGCAACAAGACUACAGUUGGAGUAGUUGUCGUCAGGGCUUCAGUGGUCGGAACUUCAGUCGUUGGGGUUUCUUUCGUUGGCAUUUCAGUGCCAUGAGAUCAUCAAUCAUCUAUCAAUAAUUGAAUAAUGCGGAAUAGUGCUACUGAUCGCACACGCUACACUUUUAUUGUUGAUGUUGGACAGGUGCUAAUUUCCGUCGCUGUUGAUUCCGACUUGGCCUUCGUGUUGGCCGCUGCCUUCGGUCCCAUUUUCAUCGUGCUGUAAGCUGAACUUCUUCUUUCCUUGCGUUUUUUUCCCCUUUCUGUUGUUACAAGUUAUUUUGCAACUCAACUUGUAUUUUUCCUCACCCAUCCCUACCGUUUCACAUUUCUAUUUUUUUCCUCUCGCGUUCAUAAUGUCGUUUGUCGUUGUGAUACUUGUCUUAUAAUUAUUUUCGUUUUCUGAAUUUAUUUUUAUAUUAUUAACACGGCAAUCCCUUCAAACAUAGCUGGCCAGAGUGAGUA
Molecule: unclassified non-coding RNA, 695 nt
Filed under: Daphnia pulicaria
Lineage: Eukaryota; Metazoa; Arthropoda; Branchiopoda; Diplostraca; Daphniidae
Description: uncharacterized LOC124341429, transcript variant X1
Source: RNAcentral